CCUACGGGUGGCAGCAGUGAGGAAUAUUGGUCAAUGGACGCAAGCCUGACCCAGCCAUGCCGCGUGCAGGAAGAAGGCUCUAUGAGUGUUAAACUGCUUUUGUACGAGGGUAAACGCAGAUACGCAUAUAUGUCUGACAGUAUCGUACGAAUAAGGAUCGGCUAAAUCCGUGCCAGCAGCCGCGGUAAUACGGAGGAUUCAAGCGUUAUCCGGAUUUAUUGGGUUUAAAGGGUGCGUAGGCGGUCGGAUAAGUUAGAGGUGAAAUCCCGAGGCUCAACUUCGGAAUUGCAUCUGAUACUGUUCGGCUAGAGAGUAGUUGCGGUAGGCGGAAUGUAUGGUGUAGCGGUGAAAUGCUUAGAGAUC
RNAcentral lists this ribosomal RNA (363 nucleotides) under uncultured bacterium. RNAcentral's name for it is "partial 16S ribosomal RNA". It matches the Rfam family "Bacterial small subunit ribosomal RNA", at positions 338 to 698 of the family's 1533-position model. The record is from RNAcentral.